AUAUGUAGUAUACUCUACAUGAUAAACCUACAAUACUCUAGAAUAGUAUUCAACUUGUAGCAGUAAAGUAUAAUAAUUAUAUGCAUAUACAUGCAUGUAUACUCUUAUAUAUAUGUAUAAGUUUGAUGAAGAAAGGUGAAAUGAAGAAAGAGCAUAAAAGAAUACAAGUAUUAUUACUCAUAUUUGUCUAAAUUUAUAACACGUUAUCAGCACGAUCACUCUAUCUCAUCAUACACAUAUAGUCUGUUAUAGUUGCUACCAAGUAAAAUCUUGUGAAGAAUGAAUUUGCUGCACUUGAUAUCAUGGAAAAAAAUUACAUGUCUUGGAUUAUUGAUGUUGAAAUGCAUCUAGAAUCAAUGGGCCUUAUUGAUACCAUUAAGGAGAUAAAUAAUGCAACAUCCCAAGAAAAGGCAGAGACAAUGAUUUUUCUCCGUCGACAUCUUGAUGAAAGUUUAAAAUAUGAAUAUCUUACUAUAAAAGAUCCAAGUGCAUUAUGGAAAGAUCUUAAAGAAAGAUACGACCAUCAAAAGGAUGUUGUUCUUCCAGGCACACGUGAUGAAUGGAACGGUCUACGUUUCCAAGACUUUAGAAAGGUCAAUGAUUAUAAUUCAAUAAUGUUCAGAAUCGUUUCUCAACUAAAAUUCUCUGGGCAGAAAAUCACAGAAGAGGAAAUGUUGGAUAAAAUGUGUAAAGCCCGCUUAGUUAAUUUGGAAAUUAGCAGUUAUUUAUGUUAAUCAUGAAAUUAUUUAUAGCUAUUUAAAUAAUUUAGUAUUGAUAUUUAUGGAAUUCAGAUGUGCAUGAGUAUGUUAUCAGUAGCUUUUAUAUUUCGCAUUUCCGGUGUCCGGUAUUUUGGAACGCGGCGUUUGGCUCAGUAGAAAUCACAACUUAGUAUGUUAGUAUUUUGGGGACGGGUUUUAGACAUUGGGAAUGUCGGGAAUGGCCGGGAAUUUAGAAUGUCCCAAAAAUACCCCCCCUUUAGUAUAAUUUUUGUGAUUUUAUGGUGGAGGGGCAAAAUGGUCUUUUUGCCCCAUUAGUGUUUUGUCUUAUAUGAGUUUAUUAAAUAAAAUAAAUGUUUAUUUAUUUAAUUGCUUUUGGCUGAAAUGGGUUUAAUAAAAUGGCAUUAUUCUUCA
Cannabis sativa is the source of this 1130-nucleotide long non-coding RNA. RefSeq lists it as uncharacterized. The record is from RefSeq and is a predicted model, not a curated record. The transcript has 2 exons. NCBI's taxonomy places the organism in Eukaryota, Viridiplantae, Streptophyta, Magnoliopsida, Rosales, Cannabaceae.